UAUUGAAUUUAAUUGUGCUUUUCAAUGCAGACAUCAUUGCAGGUCAAAUGGUUUUCUUACAAGAUUACACAAUGUGACACAUAAGUAUCAACACAAUUGGAGAGCCUACAUAAUUUGUCUUACAUUUUUGAUAUUAUGGCACUUAGGUCACUGCAACUUCUGCAGAUGUACAGGGAAGCCUCACUGUACCCAGCACCCCUAGGCUGAUUGCAUUCGGAGAUUCUGUUCUCCAUGCCAGAAGAUGGAUGCUUACAAUGGAGGGCAGAGUCAUCAUUGAGUCACAAGACCUAACUGAUUUUCAGUCCGCAUUAGCUGUCUUGUUUGGCUGCUACUACGCUUUCAAUGUUCAGUACCAAGAAGAGGCAGCUGCGACUCUGGAGUUCCUGCAGAGAUUCAUUCUCCCCGAAUAAACCCUGAUGGGACAAAUUGCCAGUCAAAGACACGGAUCAGCCGUACCUCUGGGAAGAAGGUGCAACGAAAAAGUUCUGGCCUGAAUCCUCAUGUUGCGUCUUUAAUAAAAGAGCUUGUUGACUUUGAUUGGCAGAAUUUUUAAAAAACGACCAACAACCGAGUUAAGUAUUGUUAAUGUGUAAUGUGGAAAGUGUU
Paramisgurnus dabryanus is the source of this 606-nucleotide long non-coding RNA. RefSeq lists it as uncharacterized. The record is from RefSeq and is a predicted model, not a curated record. NCBI's taxonomy places the organism in Eukaryota, Metazoa, Chordata, Actinopteri, Cypriniformes, Cobitidae.